CUACGGGAGGCUGCAGUGGGGAAUAUUGGACAAUGGGGGAAACCCUGAUCCAGCAAUGCCGCGUGUGUGAAGAAGGCCUGCGGGUUGUAAAGCACUUUCGGUUGGGAGGACUGCUUCUAGCACUAAUAUUGUUGGAAGUUGACGUUACCUUCAGAAGAAGCACCGGCUAACUCCGUGCCAGCAGCCGCGGUAAUACGAAGGGUGCAAGCGUUAAUCGGAAUUACUGGGCGUAAAGCGCGCGUAGGCGGCUAGAUCAGUCGGGUGUGAAAGCCCCGGGCUUAACCUGGGAACUGCAUCCGAUACUGUCUAGCUUGAGUACAGGAGAGGAGAGUGGAAUUCCACAUGUAGCGGUGAGAUGCGUAGAUAUGUGGAGGAACACCAAUGGCGAAGGCAGCUCUCUGGCCUGAUACUGACGCUGAGGUGCGAAAGCGUGGGGAGCAAACAGGAUUAGAUACCCUAGUAGUC
RNAcentral lists this ribosomal RNA (465 nucleotides) under uncultured bacterium. RNAcentral describes it as "partial 16S ribosomal RNA". It matches the Rfam family "Bacterial small subunit ribosomal RNA", at positions 339 to 795 of the family's 1533-position model. The record is from RNAcentral.